GCAAGUCGAGCGGUAACAUUUCUAGCUUGCUAGAGGAUGACGAGCGGCGGACGGGUGAGUAAUGCUUGGGAAUAUGCCUUAUGGUGGGGGACAACAGUUGGAAACGACUGCUAAUACCGCAUAACGUCUACGGACCAAAGGGGGCUUCGGCUUUCGCCUUUAGAUUGGCCCAAGUGGGAUUAGCUAGUUGGUGAGGUAAUGGCUCACCAAGGCGACGAUCCCUAGCUGGUUUGAGAGGAUGAUC
This 244-nucleotide ribosomal RNA is filed under the name uncultured bacterium. Its description in RNAcentral is "partial 16S ribosomal RNA". It matches the Rfam family "Bacterial small subunit ribosomal RNA", at positions 57 to 305 of the family's 1533-position model. The record is from RNAcentral.